RNAcentral lists this ribosomal RNA (1468 nucleotides) under uncultured Bordetella sp. RNAcentral describes it as "partial 16S-23S ribosomal RNA intergenic spacer". It matches the Rfam family "Bacterial small subunit ribosomal RNA". The record is from RNAcentral. Lineage: Bacteria; Pseudomonadati; Pseudomonadota; Betaproteobacteria; Burkholderiales; Alcaligenaceae.
UGUUCAUGAAAACCAGUUGAACGCUGGCGGGAUGCUUUACACAUGCAAGUCGAACGGCAGCACGGACUUCGGUCUGGUGAGUGGCGAACAGGUGAGUAAUGUAUCGGAACGUGCCUAGUAGCGAGGAUGGCUUAAGCGUAGCUAAUACCACGCUACGCCCUUCAGGGAAAGCAGGGACCUUCAAGGCCUCGCACUACUGAAACAAACCGAUAUCCGGAUUAGCUAGUUGGUGGGAGUAACGGCUCACCAAGGCGACGAUCCGUAGCUGGUUUGAAGGCAGUAACCACUCAGGACUGAGACACGGCCCGAACUCCUACAGGAGGCAGCAGUGGGGAAUUUUGGACAAUGGGGAAACCCUGAUCCAGCCAUCCCGCGUGUGCGAUGAAGGCCUUCGGGUUGUAAAGCACUUUUGGCAGGAAAGAAACGGCACGGGAUAAAUACACCCGUGCCGGCUGACUGACCUGCAGAAUAAGCACCGGCUAACUACGUGCCAGCAGCCGCGGUAAUACGUAAGUGCAAGCGUUAAUCGGAAUUGGGCAUACAGCGUGCGCAGGCGGUUCGAGAAAAGAAAAGAUGUGAAAUCCCGACUUAACUUUGGAACUGCAUUUUUAACUACCGAAGAGCUAGAGUGUGUCAGAGGGAGGUGGAAUUCCGCGUGUAGCAGUGAAAUGCGUAGAUAUGCGGAGGAACACCGAUGGCGAAGGCAGCCUCCUGGGAUAACACUGACGGCGCUCAUGCACAACGUGGGGGAGCAAACCGGGAUUGGUCUUCCUGGUAGUCCACGCCCUAAACAGUAUCAACUUCGCUGUUGAGGCCUUCGGGCCUUGGCAAUAACGCGUGAAGUUGACCGCCUGCGGGAAAUACGGUCGCAAGAUUACAAAACUCAAAGGAAUUGACGGGGACCCGCACUGAAGCCGGUGGAUGAUCUGGAUUAAUUGAGUACAGCGCGAAAAACCUUACCUACCCUUGACAUGUCACAAGUCUGAAAGAUUUGGGAGUACUCAUAAGAGAACCGGAACACAGGUGCUGCAUGUGUCGUCAGUAUUCGUCCGUGAGAUGUUAGAUUCAGAGUCCCACGAGCGCAACCUUAUCGUUAGUUGCUACGAAAGGGCACUCUAAUGAGACUGCCGGUGACAAACCGGAGAGAGUGAGAUGGCCAUCAAGUCCUCAUGGCCCUUAUGGGUAGGGCUUCACACGUCAUACAAUGGUCGGGACAGAGGGUCGCCAACCCACGAGGGAGCCAAUCCCAGAGGAAACCCGAUCGUAGUCUGGAUGCUGAUGCAACUCGGCUGUGAAGUGGAAUCGCUAGUAAUCGCGGAUCAGCAUGUCGCGGUGAAUACGUUCCCGGGUCUUGUACACACUGCCCAUCACACCUAUGGGGUGGGUUUACCCGAAGUAGUUAGCCUAACCGUAAGGAGAGCGAUUACCACCGUGGGAUUCGUGACUGGGGUAAGUCGUAACAAGGUAG